CCCAACUAUCCCUAUUAAUCAUUACGUCAAUCCUAGAAACCAACAAAAUAGAAUCAAACGUCCUAUUUCAUUAUUCCAUGCUAAUGUAUUCAAGCGUGCGCCUGCUUUAAACACUCUAAUUUUUUCAAAGUAACAGUCCUGAUUCCCCACGACACCAAAUUAAUGACAUCGCGGUUCUUCAGAAGGUAGGAACCAAUAAUGCCAGUACGUACCGAGGCACGACCGACAGUCUGAUCCCGAAAUUCAACUACGAGCUUUUUAACUGCAACAACUUUAAUAUACGCUAUUGGAGCUGGAAUUACCGCGGCUGCUGGCACCAGACUUGCCCAA
This 330-nucleotide unclassified non-coding RNA is filed under the name uncultured Glomeraceae. RNAcentral describes it as "sequence contains 18S rRNA gene". Lineage: Eukaryota; Fungi; Glomeromycota; Glomeromycetes; Glomerales; Glomeraceae. The record is from RNAcentral.